AGUCGAGCGGACAGAAGGGAGCUUGCUCCCGGAUGUUAGCGGCGGACGGGUGAGUAACACGUGGGUAACCUGCCUGUAAGACUGGGAUAACUCCGGGAAACCGGAGCUAAUACCGGAUAGUUCCUUGAACCGCAUGGUUCAAGGAUGAAAGACGGUUUCGGCUGUCACUUACAGAUGGACCCGCGGCGCAUUAGCUAGUUGGUGGGGUAAUGGCUCACCAAGGCGACGAUGCGUAGCCGACCUGAGAGGGUGAUCGGCCACACUGGGACUGAGACACGGCCCAGACUCCUACGGGAGGCAGCAGUAGGGAAUCUUCCGCAAUGGACGAAAGUCUGACGGAGCAACGCCGCGUGAGUGAUGAAGGUUUUCGGAUCGUAAAGCUCUGUUGUUAGGGAAGAACAAGUGCGAGAGUAACUGCUCGCACCUUGACGGUACCUAACCAGAAAGCCACGGCUAACUACGUGCCAGCAGCCGCGGUAAUACGUAGGUGGCAAGCGUUGUCCGGAAUUAUUGGGCGUAAAGGGCUCGCAGGCGGUUUCUUAAGUCUGAUGUGAAAGCCCCCGGCUCAACCGGGGAGGGUCAUUGGAAACUGGGAAACUUGAGUGCAGAAGAGGAGAGUGGAAUUCCACGUGUAGCGGUGAAAUGCGUAGAGAUGUGGAGGAACACCAGUGGCGAAGGCGACUCUCUGGUCUGUAACUGACGCUGAGGAGCGAAAGCGUGGGGAGCGAACAGGAUUAGAUACCCUGGUAGUCCACGCCGUAAACGAUGAGUGCUAAGUGUUAGGGGGUUUCCGCCCCUUAGUGCUGCAGCUAACGCAUUAAGCACUCCGCCUGGGGAGUACGGUCGCAAGACUGAAACUCAAAGGAUUUGACGGGGGCCCGCACAAGCGGUGGAGCAUGUGGUUUAAGUUCGAAGCAACGCGAAGAACCUUACCAGGUCUUGACAUCCUCUGACACCCUAGAGAUAGGGCUUUCCCUUCGGGACAGAAGUGACAGGUGGUGCAUGGUGUCGUCAGCUCGUGUCGUGAGAUGUUGGGUAAGUCCCGCUAACGAGCCGCACCUUGAUUCUUAGUUGCAGCAUUUAGCUUGGGCACUUCUAAGUGAACUGCGGUGACAAACGGAGGAAGGGGGGGGAUG
RNAcentral lists this ribosomal RNA (1136 nucleotides) under Bacillus sp. 9RB4. Its description in RNAcentral is "bacterial SSU rRNA". It matches the Rfam family "Bacterial small subunit ribosomal RNA", at positions 60 to 1181 of the family's 1533-position model. Lineage: Bacteria; Bacillati; Bacillota; Bacilli; Caryophanales; Bacillaceae. The record is from RNAcentral.